This 79-nucleotide long non-coding RNA is filed under the name Cyanistes caeruleus (blue tit). RNAcentral describes it as "lncRNA (ENSCCEG00000023529.1)". Lineage: Eukaryota; Metazoa; Chordata; Aves; Passeriformes; Paridae. The record is from RNAcentral.
UCCAGGAGCACCAGCAGCAUGUGCAUGGCUUCUGUAAUUGUCAGGAGGUCAAAGCAUAUCCCAUUUGAAAGAAUUCCUC